Oryzias melastigma (Indian medaka) is the source of this 1370-nucleotide long non-coding RNA. RefSeq lists it as uncharacterized. The transcript has 3 exons. Lineage: Eukaryota; Metazoa; Chordata; Actinopteri; Beloniformes; Adrianichthyidae. The record is from RefSeq and is a predicted model, not a curated record.
GUCAAAGAACAUAGAUGUUAGGGAGCCUCUUAUAAUGCUAAAAAUGUGGCAUGGGGAGCAAUGGUUUCUCUUAAAACCUGAACGGGCGUGUUUUCCCGCAGUUAUCUGGGGAUCAGUGGCUGUGGGUGUUUGAACAGAUGUAGACACAUCACACCGGCUCAAUGCGAGUCGACAGUGCAGUUUUUAGAGGCUUUCAAAUGAGCUGACACGGCCCCUCUGAGAGGAGUGUCUGCGAAUGACACGUUCAGUCUGCAGCCAUUCAGAUGGACACAGGAGUUAUGGGUAUUCACCAGAGCAAAUGAAGUGUGUCUGCGCUGCUGAUGGUCCGGAUGUGUCCAUCUGCCCUGAAUGAACCCACACUGGAGCACAGGGCGCUCAUGCUGCUGCUGAUGACAUUCACUGACUCCUUUUCAACUUUUGAGAAGGAAUUUGCCUGAACUACUGUGAAUAUUUGUCCACUUAUGGAAAUCAAUCUGUUCGUCCAUCCAUCCAUCUAGUGUUUGGUGAAGGCAGGAUCCCCUCUGAAGUUCUUCCAUUUAUUCCUUAGUGUGGAGUAAGUUCCAAUGAGUUAUGAGUAACUGAUUACUUAAGUAGUAUAUCACAGUAAUACUUUAAGUUUAUUUUCUACAAAGUAGUGUAAAAACAUUACAAACAUUACAUUACUUGUUUUUCUUAACUAUUGUGUAUAAUCUUUUAUCACUGAGACAGUUGAUGUCUAUUUUUUAAGUUUUAGUUUAGUUUUUAAUCUUUUUUAAACACUGUCCUUCAUUUGUUCUCUAGUUAAUGUUUGUUUUUUGAGUCGAUAUCCUAUAUUUUUUGUUUCUCUGUACUAAACUGCUUAAAGCAAACGGUUGCUCCCCCAGAACAACAUUAAUGAUCAUUUAAUUUCAUUGUAUCAUCACAUUGAUUACUUUGUGGUACAUUUGUAACUUUGUAUUAAAUUCUACUGGUAACUCUUCCUCUCCAUGCUUGAACUUAUUUCUAAUUGUUUUAAAAUUUUUCUUCAGGUUUUUUUCUAUUCAAGGUGAUGCCAAAUUAAGUGGAGUCCUAGACUGAAGGGUGCUUUGCAAAUUAGUGACAUACGGCAUGAAGGGGUCAAAAGUCGUACAGCAGUCAUGUCACAUGUCUGAGACAGCAAUACCGUAAGGUGAGGGAUUACCGUAUUCUUCGGACUAUAAGUUGCUCUGGGGUAUAAGUCACAGAUGCCAAAAAAGUUAACAAUAAAGGAGAAAAACAUCAUUUAUAGGUCACACCCCCACCCAAAUGUAGCAAAGACGCAUCUUAUAUUUUGACAAAUACGGUACUUUUGAACUUUAAAUACAGUUAAGCUGUUAUUUAUUAUCAAUUGGCUGUAACUUGUUUGAGUUAUG